CUCCAGCAGUUUCCCGUGGCCGUGGUCGGUGAUCUUGAGCACGAACCUCCCGUCUACCACGCAGUUCCGCGACUUAAGCCGCCCGUGAGCCACGCCGCGGUGGUGCAGGUACCUCAUUCCCUUGGAGGAGGCGGGAUGCAAAAAGAAAAUGUCUGUCUCUCUGGGAUUCUCAGUCUCUCCCCUGGCUCAAGAAAAAUCAUGAAAUUUGGAGGAGUUGACAGAAGGGAAUGUUUGAUGGUCCUUACUUCUGGCGUGGUUCUCCACUGACUGUUCACAGUUGGCGGUGGAGGUGGAGGCUAAUGGUGUUAGAAACUUUGUACAGAUUUAUUUGCUUUCUCCAUCCGGCCCUCUCCUCCCAUGGGGUUCCGCAGCGAAGGGCUUGGUAUCUGGGCUGUCAGCCCUCUGGAUUCUGGGAGAGCACUGAUAAACUCAGUUUUUCUGCAGAGACCAGAUCAGCCAUCAGGGGGCGCCCCGAGGACAAGACGAGGAUCGGCCUGGGCUCCAGUUGCAUUUAGACUUAAGGGCAUCUGGGACUAAUCUGCCUACUGCUUUGUGGAGGACAGGGUGGUAUAGGGUCACUCUCGCCCACCUCCCCUCCUCUGACCACAGUGGGUGGGCUUCAGACUGGUCUGGUACUGCAGGUUCCGGAAGUAGGGGUUGGGAUGGGUGACUGGAAUUUACAAGGUGCUGCGCCCUUUCUUCUCUGGCUUCUGCACCAGCCUCCGCAACCUUCUUCCCAUGACUUGGUGAAGGAAGGCCAGUGCGAUGGCUCCAUCACUAAGCAAGCAACAGUGCUGCUCAGAAACCCUGCUGCCUGGGGUACUUGGACCCCACUCCCAGACCCGCUUCUCUGCUGGGAAGACAUUUCCACCUUCUUCCCGGGAGUCCCUCAGUUUUCGGCGGACAUAACAUCCUUGUUUGUAUGUGGUGCUGAGGAUCGAAC
Molecule: non-coding RNA, 943 nt
Organism: Ictidomys tridecemlineatus (thirteen-lined ground squirrel)
Lineage: Eukaryota; Metazoa; Chordata; Mammalia; Rodentia; Sciuridae
Source: RefSeq, a predicted model, not a curated record